This is a long non-coding RNA of Leptopilina heterotoma, 483 nucleotides long. RefSeq lists it as uncharacterized. The transcript is spliced from 3 exons. Lineage: Eukaryota; Metazoa; Arthropoda; Insecta; Hymenoptera; Figitidae. The record is from RefSeq and is a predicted model, not a curated record.
GGAAAUUUGAACCAAUCACUGAAAAUUCCACGACACUCGUUAUUUGGAUCGUAGGCCAAUAAUCUGUGUAAUCUGUACUGUUGUUCACACUUGCAACCAUCUCGGCAAUUCAUUUGUUUGUCCUCGUGCCUGGCAACAAAUAAACUUUUCACUUACGUGCACUUUUCCCAAUGGACGUAUUGCUCGAAGGGAUAAAGAUUUAAUAGAGCCAGGACUUCACCACGAGUGUUAUUCGCCCAAAAUGGAGCCACCACUUCUUCCUUGACUGGACAAGCAUUUCUGGAAAUUAUUAUUUUCAAUGAAGGAAUUGAUUUUGGAUUUGGAAUUAAUUAUCGACGACUAUUAAAAUUCGAGAAGCAGAAUAAUCACGUCACAUUGGAUGAUCACUUGAAACGCACAAGAAGAAGAAGAAGAGAUGAAAAAACAAUCGAGGUUCAUCGACUCACCAAAAGAGUCAAUAAUACGAAAACUCUCAUAUCUUCC